CCUACGGGAGGCAGCAGUGGGGAAUAUUGGACAAUGGGCGCAAGCCUGAUCCAGCAAUGCCGCGUGAGUGAUGAAGGCCUUCGGGUCGUAAAGCUCUUUUACCAGGGAUGAUAAUGACAGUACCUGGAGAAUAAGCUCCGGCUAACUCCGUGCCAGCAGCCGCGGUAAU
Molecule: ribosomal RNA, 169 nt
Filed under: uncultured bacterium
Lineage: Bacteria
Also listed under: 1 other name
Description: partial 16S ribosomal RNA
Rfam family: Bacterial small subunit ribosomal RNA
Source: RNAcentral